Phyllostomus hastatus (greater spear-nosed bat) is the source of this 433-nucleotide long non-coding RNA. RefSeq lists it as uncharacterized. NCBI's taxonomy places the organism in Eukaryota, Metazoa, Chordata, Mammalia, Chiroptera, Phyllostomidae. The record is from RefSeq and is a predicted model, not a curated record. The transcript is spliced from 3 exons.
UUCUUUUUUUCUCAACACAUAUGUGCCCAGUGCCCACCAUGAAUUGGGUACCACCUUGGACAAGAUGAGAAACCAGGCCGUCGAGGAAUGAUGCAGCCUAAGGAAGACGUGUUUUGAGAGAGGCACUGAGGAGUAGGGAUGGUAGAAGGAAAGAGGCUCAUUGCCUGAAAUUCUCGUCACAGCCACCCACAGCGAGCCCUAAACAUACGGGUGGUUUCCAUGGCCCUGACUGCGCUGUAGUGACCGGACCUGCUUACACGGCUUCAGGCGCCCUGCGCAUGUACACCCAGCACCCAUCACAAAGGUUUCUCUCAAAUCCCGGUGCUGCACUCACUCGGCGCAGUGGCUCUCAGGGACCCCACCCGAUCUCGUUGUUGGACCUGCUACCCACAUACGGACGCACGGUGGGCUGGGCGUCCGGCACCUCUAGCCC